Streptomyces mangrovisoli is the source of this 114-nucleotide regulatory RNA element. It matches the Rfam family "SAM (S-adenosyl methionine) riboswitch aptamer". From Rfam's summary of the family: SAM-IV is a mRNA element that regulates gene expression via direct sensing of S-adenosylmethionine (SAM or AdoMet). NCBI's taxonomy places the organism in Bacteria, Bacillati, Actinomycetota, Actinomycetes, Kitasatosporales, Streptomycetaceae. The record is from Rfam.
GGCAUUGAGUGUCAGCGUCAAGCCCUGGCUCGCUGACCGGCAACCCUCCCGCGCGGUGGGGUGCUCCAGGUGAAAGCCCGGCGGGAUCACCGACGAUUCCCGCAAGCGCGAGGC